CGGCGAGGGAGACUGACCCCAGAGCCACACGGGGCUCCAGGGCUCGUGGCCACCUGGGAUGACACAGGGAACGGAGGCUGUGCCUUCCCACGGGAAACAGGAGCACUCAGGGCAGGCAGUGUCCAGCUGGACCCACAGGCACCAUGAGGAAGGAUCCCAGCAAGGAGCAGACGGUUUCCAGGUCCCACCAUCCAGCUGUGUGUUCCAUGGUUGUACUCAUUCCCUGACUGCCCCAUCCCGCCCCUCCCUGCACCCCACCCUGCCAACCCCUCCAAGGGCAGCUGGAGGUGAGGGGUGCCCUCCCCUUCCAUCCUCUUCCCUGCAUCCCCUCAUAUGUUCCUCACCCACAACCCCAUGUCAUUCCCAGAUUCCCGAUCCCCUCCAACACCCCAUCCUUACACACCCAUAACCAUUUCUUCUCCCCUCGCUCCUCGUGCACAGCACAGAUCCUCUCCCUGCUGCCACAGUGAUGCUCAUCCCUCCCCAGCUCCCUUUCCCUCCCUCCCAGUCCCAGGGGAAGCUCGUGCCCAGCCUCUGCCCAUGCCAGGAUAUCCCACCUUUCCAGGUGUUUCUUUGGACAUCAGCAUCUCCCCUCUGCUCAGCUGGGCUCCUGCUCCACCAGCACAUCGCUCUGCCCCACCCCACCCUCUUUUACUGCUGUGUCCAUCCCUCCCGGAGCUGUAUCCAUGGUUUUACCUGUCCCACAGCUCCGUGCUGGGAGAGGAAGGGCACAGACCAAACCCCAGCGGUGCCGCUCGCUCUGCUUCCCGUGACUCCCGGGAUCGACUGCCAGCUCCCACCACCACUCCUCAUUUUUUAAUCUCCCCAAGUGAGCCGAGAAUUAAUUAUUUAGCAGCUCACAGGACACAUGGGGAACACCCAAUCCGUGAGGAGCUGCAGCUCUGGCUCCCACCUGCCCCGGGGGAGCAGCGGGAGAGGGCUGGGAGAGGGCUGGGAUAGCUGUGGCUGCAUCCCUGCUGUGCCACACACCUAAUAUUGCCCGGUGAUCAAUGGCUUCGUGUGCUCUCCCCCGAGGAACCGGGAGUGUUGGCUCGUGGCUGAAUCUGUCUCCAGAAGAAAUUGGUCCCUGUGGGAAGCAACACGGAGCCACGGCCAGAGGGGAGGGUGGGGGGAAUGCUGGGGUUCCCUGGGGAGAGAUCCCUGCUCCAUGCCCGGUGCCAGGGGGGUGGUGAUGGGACCAGUCCAACCACAGUGGUGCCAGUUCUUCUCCGAGGGGAUGGAAACAGGGAGCUGGGGGGUGACAACCCUGGGGGGUCUCAUCCAAAGUCCCACUGACAUCCUGGGCAGCUCUUGGGGCAGGAGUGGCCAGGAGCUGUCACCCCGUGUGCACCCACAUGGCUGGGGGGACCCACAGUGGGGACAGGGAUGGGGAUGGGGAUGGAGCAGGCCCUGGAGCAGCCCAGACACCUCCACCAAACAUCCCGGGGUGUCUGGGAUGGCAGCAGGAUAUGCUGCACUCCUGGCCUGGCUGAGCUGGGGAGGUGUCUGGAGGGGGUGAGGAGGGGGCAGCAGGCACCCACCACCCCCUGAGUGACCCUCAGAGGGGACCCUGUGGAAGCAGGGACCGAUUCCCACUGUGUCCAUGCUGGGAGAUCGCAGGCACCGGCAAGAGCCUUAACUUUAAAAAAAAAAAAUGGUUUAUUUAUU
Molecule: long non-coding RNA, 1668 nt
Organism: Corapipo altera (White-ruffed manakin)
Lineage: Eukaryota; Metazoa; Chordata; Aves; Passeriformes; Pipridae
Exons: 2
Source: RefSeq, a predicted model, not a curated record